AUACGUAGGUGGCGAGCGUUAUCCGGAUUUACUGGGUGUAAAGGGCGUGUAGGCGGUUUUGUAAGUCGGAUGUGAAGUUCCCAGGCUUAACUCGGGAGCUGCAUCCGAAGCUACAGAACUUGAGUACUGGAGAGGAUAGUGGAAUUCCUAGUGUAGCGGUAAAAUGCGUAGAUAUUAGGAGGAACAUCAGUGGCGAAGGCGACUAUCUGGACAGUAACUGACGCUGAGGCGCGAAAGCGUGGGGAGC
Molecule: ribosomal RNA, 247 nt
Filed under: uncultured bacterium
Lineage: Bacteria
Description: partial 16S ribosomal RNA
Rfam family: Bacterial small subunit ribosomal RNA
Source: RNAcentral